AUCAAGCCUCGCGAGAGCCGUGGCAAGCCUUCAGCCAAUCCGAAUGUGCGCCGACUAUCCUCUUUAUAAAGAGCCUCUAAUGAGAGACUUCCUUUUAUAAGAUUCAAGAAUGGCUGCGUGUAUGACCUUCUUUUCCAUCUCUGUGACAAAACCGCCAACACAUCCACAACUUAAAGGAGGAGAAGUUUAUUUUGGCUUACAGUUUUAGAGGAUUCUGUCCAUGGUUGGUUGGCUUCAAGGCAGAAAUGGCACGGCAGAAGGGCACAGCAGAGGAGAGGUGUUCACCUCAUGGCAGCCAGGAAGCAGAGUGAGAAGGGAGGAGCUGGGGACAAAAACACAACCUUCCAGGUCACGUCCCUAGUGACUCACCUCCAACCAGUCCCUACCUAAUAGCGUGAGUCAUACUGGUGAUCCUCACUAUAGUCAGCUCCUCGGAGUGGUUGGUAAGGCCCUCGGUCUUACAUUUUGGAGGCCCCAGCAAGAUCCCCAGGUAGGAACCCCUGAUUCGGCCGAGACUCCAUGGCAGGAUCCAGCAGGAGACCCUUGGGCACAGACCUCAGAAAAACCUCCAGAGGUAAGCUUUUGGCCGGUUGCAACCGUUUGUUAAGCCAGGAGUGAGGUGGCUGAUGAGCCGGUAAGCCUCCCCUGACCCUGAGGUUCCUGACGAGGAACAAGGGAAGAUUUAGUUUCAUUUUGUCGCGGCGCCGGUUCAUCUUGUCUUUUGUAUGUUAGUGUUGUGUCUGUUGUGUGUCUGAUUUUACAUUUUUUUUCCAAUCCUCAUCAGGAGCAGAGUAAUGGGAGGAUCCUGUUCUACCAGGUCCACUCCAUUUGACUGCUUUCUCACUAAUUUUAAAUUAGCUUUUUCUCCAGAACAAGAAGAUGAAUACAGGGUAAAAUUUUCUCGCAAAAGACUCUGCUCCCUGUGCCAACUGGAAUGGCCAGCCUUUGGGGUGGGAUGGCCAGCCAAAGGGACUUUUGACCUCAGUAUUUGCCGGGUGUUUUGGGGCAAGAUCACUGGUUGCCCUGGCCACCAGACCAAUUUCCCUACAUAGACAUCUGGGUUCAGGCUUGUGAGGAACCUCCAGCUUGGCUGCAGUGCUGUUCCCUUCAAACAGACACUCGCAUUUUAGUUACUGCCCUGAAAGGACCCCAGGGACUUAAGACCUGGGCUCCCAAGCCGGUACUCUCGAAGGAACCUGACCCCCUAGACCCCUUGGGAGGGCCUCCGCCCUAUGUGGAAUCCUCCACCUCCUCAGAUGGAUCCGGCUCUAGACCUCAAAAUCCUUUCCUUCCUCUGUUCAACCUUCGGCUCUUACCUCUCUCUAUCCUCCUCUCCCUGAGGGGCCCCAGUCCCCAGACUCUGUGACUUCUCCCCCACACACACGAGCUGGGGCUGUGUAUGGACCUAGCGAGGUCCCCACUGAGGGAACUAGUUCGUCCCCUCUCUUGCCCCUUUGGGAGACAGAGAAAGAUCACUAUGUUUAUAUCCCUUUUACUACCAGUGACUUAUAUAAUUGGAAACAUCAGAAUCCUCCUUUUUCAGAGAAACCCCAAGCUCUAAUCUCUCUCCUGGAGUCUAUCUUUCAUACCCAUGAUCCUACUUGGGAUGAUUGCCAACAACUCCUCCAGGCCCUGUUUACCUCAGAGGAGAGGGAAAGAAUCCGGGGACAAGCUGUAAGGUUGGUAUUAGGCGGAGCAGAGGGGCCCCUAGAUGAGCAACAGCGGGCCCAUAUUGAAGCACAACUCCUGUCCACCCAACCCCGCUGGCAAGCUAAUGCCUUGGGUGGGAGAGAAGCUCUCCAGAACUAUCAUCAGCAUCUCCUGGCUGGCCUGAGGGGAGCCACUCAGAAGCCUACCAAUUUGAGCAAGGUAAGCAAGGUCCUUCAAGGAUCAGAGGAAUCCCCUUCUGCCUUUUUGGAGCAUCUGUUGGAAGCAUACCAUACGUAUACUCCAGUCGAUUCAGACGCCCCUGCAAAUCGGCAGGCAAUAAACUUGGCAUUUGUUACCCAGUUGGCCCCAGACAUUAGAAAGAAGCUGCAAAGGCUAGAAGGAUUUGAGGGAGAGAAUAGAGAAAAGUUGAUGAGUGUAGCCAUGAAGGCGUUUAACAACAGGGAUCCCCCGGAAGAGAGAAUGGCCAAGAGACUGGGAAAGAUGGAGGAUUUGUCCAGAAAGAAAGACCUGAAAAAAUUAUUAUGGUAAUGAGGAAGAGAAGAAGGUAUUUAAUAAAUUUAUUUAUAUCAGGGUCUGAGUGUAUGUAUCAUAGUGAGAACUCUAUGAUUGACCAUGUAACGAAUAAUGCUACUGAUAUAAAUAUAAUGGAAAAGUAGUCUAGCUUAAAGCUUAUGUUGAUGGUUAGGGUUUGAAUAGAUAUUCAGUUUCAGUUGGAAAUUACUAAAGGAGAGAACAAGGGAAAAAUCUGACCCUUUUUAGAGAAAGAUCAGUGUGCCUAUUGCAAGGAAAAGGGUCAUUUUAAAAAGGAUUAUGAAAAGCUAAAAAGGAAAAGAGAGAAGGAGGCCCAAAAGGAAAAAGGUGGAAUCCUCUUAGUAGAUGAAGAUUGAUGGGGCCAAGGCUCAUGGCUGCUUAACCCUAGUGAGCCUAUGGUGACUUUGGAGAUAGGAGGAACAAAUGUUCAGUUCCUUGUGGACACUAGUGCAGCCCACUCUGUCCUGAAGACCCCCCUUGGACCCCUCAUUUCCUUAAAAACCUCCAUUACUGGAGCCACAGGAAAGUCGGCCUCCUACCCUUGGACCCCUAGACGAACUGUGAAUCUAGGAAAAGGCACCAUCACCCAUUCCUUCUUAGUUAUCCCUGAGUGCCCAUACCCAUUGCUGGGAAGAGACUUGCUGUGAAAGUUGGGGGCUAUUAUUUCCUUUGAGCCUGAAGGAGGGACUUUCGAACUCAAGCCACCCUCUGCCAUUAUGGUAACGGUACCCCUAGAAGAUGAAUUUAGAUUGCUAAAGGAGGGUGCAGAGCCCCCCCGAACAAAAAUGGGACUACCUUCAGAAAAAGUUUCCCAGGGUGUGGGCUGAAACCAAUCCACCUGGGCUGGCCAACCACCAUGCCCUGAUGGUGGUCCAAUUGUUGGCCUCUGCUACCCCUGUCCGUGUGUGACAAUACCCCCUCCAGCUGGAAGCCAAGGUGGGGAUCUCUAAGCACAUCCACCAACUCCAGGAAGCCAGCAUCUUAGUCCCUUGCCAGUCAGCCUGGAAUACACCCCUGCUUCCUGUGAGGAAGCCUGGCACCUCAGACUUCAGACCGGUACAGGAUUUGUGGGAGGUAAACAGCCGGGUGGAGACUGUCCACCCAAUGGUACCAAACCCUUACAUUCUGUUGAGUCUCAUCCCUCCUGCUCAUGUGUGGUACUCGGUAUUAGACCUCAAAGAUACAUAUUUUUCAGCCUACCCCUAGCACCAGUGAGCCAGCCCCUCUUUGCCUUCGAAUGGACGGACCCAGUCUCUGGGACUACUGGACAGCUGACAUGGACCUGGCUGCCACAGAGAUUCAAGAACUCCCCCACUCUGUUUGGGGAAGCUCUCAGCAAAGAGAGCUUUUCCCCAAGCAACUAUUCUUCAGUAUGUAGAUGACCUCCUAGUGGCAACUUCGACCGAUGAAGAGUGUCUUGCAGCCACUGAGGGCCUCCUGGAAGUCCUCCAAGAACUGGGAUAUUGGGUGUCUUGGAAGAAAGCUCAGCUCUGCCAGACAAAGGUAACCUACUUGGGCUACAUUCUUGAGGAAGGGAAGAGGAGGCUAGCAGAAUCACGGGUAUCAGCAAUUCUCCAGAUUCUGGAACUGAGCUCAAAGAAACAGGUGUGUGAAUUCCUAGAAGCGGUUGGGUAUUGCAGAAUUUGGAUCCUUGGCUUUGCUGAAAUGGCCAAACCCCUGCACGAAGCCACCACAGGGGGAGAUACACCCCUCAAAUGGACUGAGGCUUGCCAGCAGGCAUUUCAAUUGCUUAAAACUGUGCUUGCAUUGGCACCAGCCCUGGCACUGCCAGACUUAAAUAAGCCCUUCACUCUGUAUGUAGCGGAGAAAAAUGGGGUAGCCAAGGGAGUGAUUACUCAGCCUUUGGGACUGUGGAAGUGGCCAGUGGCAUACUUCUCAAAGAAGCUAGAUCCAGUGGCCCAAGGGUGGCCUACCUGUCUGAGGACAGUAGCAGCAGCAGCUGCUCUAACCCGAGAGGCUGACAAACUGACAUUUGGACAGGAUUUGACUUUAAUCACUCCCCAUGCCAUUGAGCCCUUGUUGAAUAGCUCGCCUAGCAAGUGGCUGUCUAAUGCCAGACUGUUGCAAUACCAAGGACUCCUGUUGGAACAGCCACGUAUUAGGUUUUCCACCACUGCACAUCUCAACCCUGCGACUCUGCUCCCAGAGUCCAAAGAGGAGGUGCCCAUACACGACUGCCUCGAGAUUCUCGAGAACUUGUGGGGAGGGUGUCCAGAUCUAAUGGAUCAAGCCCUCCCCCAGGCUGAGGCCACGUUCUAUACUGAUGGGUGCAGCUUUGUGCAAGAUGGGGUUUGAUACGCUGGAGUGGCGGUGGUCAACCAAAGUUGCCAAGUAGAAUGGGCAACAGGACUACCCCCAGGGACCUCCACCCAAAAAGCUGAAUUGAUUGCUUUAACAAAGGCUUUGGAAUUGGGUAAAGAGAAAAGGAUCAAUAUUUAUACUUACAGCCAAUAUGCUUUUGCCAUGGCCCACGUACAUGGGAAAAUUUACCAAAAUCGAGGUCUCUUAACCUCUGAGGGGAAGACUAUUAAAAAUAAGACUGAGAUCUUGGCAUUAUUGCAAGCCAUUUGGCUGCCCCAGAAAGUGGCCAUCAUACAUUGUAGGGGCCAUCAAAAAGGGUCCAGCCCCAAAACAUUUGGAAACAGUGGCGCCAACCAAGCAGCAAUAUAGGCUGCUCAAAAAUCAGUGGGGAAACAGUUGGUCCUGCACCCCACCCCAGUAUUGCCAGAUAAACCAGAUUAUACCAAGGAAGAAGUAGAAUACAUGAAAAGAAAACAAUGGAAAAAGGGGGAUCAUGAGUGGUGGACCACCAAAGAGGGAAAAAUAGUUUUGCCGGGAGCCCUGGCAGACACCCUGCUCCAAGAACUACAUGAGUCCACUCACCUUGGAGAAAGACAGAUGCUGGCGGCCCUGCAGCCCCACUUCAUCAGCCAAGGACUGACCCAAAAAGCUGAAGACCUGGUAAGACGAUGUCCCACCUGUCUUCAGGUAAAUGCCAGCCAAAUCACAGGACCCCCAGGAAUUCAAUAUCGGGGAGUAAUGCCAGAACACUGGGAAAUAGACUUCACUGAAAUGAAACCUGGCCUGUAUGGACUUAAGUAUCUGUUAGUCUUUGUGGAUACCUUUUUGGGUUGGAUAGAGGCCUUCCCUACCAAAAAGGAAAUGGCUGAAGGAACUGUAAAGAAACUUUUGACAGAAAUAAUUCCCCGAUUUAGAUUGCCAUUAGCCCUGGGGUCCAACAAUGGCCCAGCCUUCACGGCCAAGAUAUCCAAAUUGAUUAGCAGUGCCUUAGGAGUAAAAUGGAAUUUACAUUGUGCAUAUAGGCCUCAGAGCUCAGGGCAAGUAGAAAGGGCAAAUAGAACCUUGAAGGAGACAUUGACCAAAUUAAGCAUGGAGACUGAACAGGAAUGGGUCGAGCUUCUCCCCUUUGCCCUCUACUGUACCCAGUGUACUCCAAGUUUGCCUUCCAGUGUAUCCCCCUUCCAGAUAAUCUACAGGUGAGUGCCCCCUCUCAUCCCUAGAAUUGAUUUAGAAUUGACAGAAAAACUCUCUCACCUCCAACUCCUUAAAUCACUGAAAGCCAUUCACCAGCUUCAGUCAGAUUUGCAAGAAGAAAUAAGAAAAUCUAGGGCUCACCCUUCAGAAAAAACCCUUAUCACCCCUACCUUAUAAGCUGGGAGAUUUGGUUUUCAUUCACAGGUUUGAUUCCAAAAAUUUGGAACCCCAUUGGAAAGGGCCAUUUCCCAUUAUCCUAACUACCCCUAUGGCGGUGAAGGUUGCUAGACACUCUGUCUGGAUCCACUGCAGCCAUUUGAAGGAGGCAUCUCCUGAGGAAGUGAGGUCAACACGGCGGAUCGACCAGAACAAGAAGGACCCCCUUAAGAUAAGAUUGAUCAAAAACUAGCUUGGACAAUAUGGGGGCUCAUGGGGUUACUGUCCUUACCAGCCCCGAUGGAAGGAGGAUCUGUGCUGUCCAGCCACACUCCCCAGAAUUGGACCUGGUCCCUUAAAAACUCGCUCACAGGAGCCCUAAUCACCACUAAUAUGACAGAUCAGAGCCCCACCUUCCUUGUAGACUUAUGUGAUUUAGGACUAGUCACUCGGCCUGUGGGAAUAUUGGAAGUAGCGGGGCCAUGGUCAGCCCCCCCCGUCAACCCCCGGGGGUUUAAAGGGAUGGUCCACCAACCAAAGGGAAAGGGGCCUCCAGACCAUAGACAUCUAUUCAUGUCCUGUAGGAAAAGAUAAAAGGUGUGAUGGGGGACCAGGAAACCACUGUUAUUACUGGGGUUGUGAAUCUACUGCCCCAUGGAAAAAUGGUGGUGGGGAGGAUGCAUAUUUGGCUUUAGAAUAACAAACACCAAGCAGUUCAUGUACCAUGGGAAAAUGUAAUUCCAUCAAGUUAACCUUAAAACAAUGGCAGACUGCAUAUAAAGAUUGGAAAAAAGGAAAACCUUGGACAGUGGCACUCAAUGUGGCUGGAAAAGACCCUAUGACAGACCUCAUCAUCCAGCGUAGCCCAGUACUAGUACUGCCCAAACUGAUGGGCAGCAUCUAUAGAGUCCCCAGCCCUCAAGGGAAUGAGGCCAAUACAACUUAUAAUAUGACACUGGCUGCUCCUGAAUGUCCAAUCCAGCCAUACCUAAAAACCCUUAAUGCCAUGUAUACUUUGUUAAAUAGAUCUGACUACAGUGUUACCCAAGGAUGCAGGAUGUGUUUGAGUCCAUGCCCCCUGUAUUAUGUAGGGGUGUCAGUAAAUGGCACCUACUCAGAAGCUAACCAAGAUGAAUGUGAUUGGAAACAACAGAAGUUGUCAAUAGGGGAUAUAACAGGAAAAGGGUUAUGUGUUAAAAAUCCAAGUGUUAAGUCUUCUUAUCUAGACAGUGUAUGCUCUUAUCAGGCACCCACUGCCAGUAAUGAAAAGUAUCUAAAAGCUGGAAACAAUACAUGGUGGGUGUGCAUGAAUGGUAUAACUCCUUGUUUGUCCAUGACAGUCUUUAAUCAGGAACUUGAGGUAUGCGCAAUGGUCCACACAUUGUCCCAAGUAACCAUAUAUGGAGGAGACCAGGGUUGGGAAUAUCUAGCUAAAAGGACACAUACCUGAGAGAAGCACCACCCAGCUUUGAUUCCCGUAUUAACUGCAACAGGCAUUGUGGGAUCAGCAGCUCUGGGUGCGACAGCAAUAGGAGUGCAAGACUCCAACUUCAAGACCCUUGCCCAACAGGUAAAAAUAGACUUAGGCCUGCUUACCGAGUCAGUGUCCCUUUUGGAAAAACAAGCUGACUCUCUGGCUGAGAUGGUCCUUCAACACCAUCGAGGUCUUGACCUCCUAUUCAUGAAAGAGGGAGGGCUAUGUGCAGCCCUAGGAGAACAAUGUUGCUAUUAUGCUAAUAAAUCUGGAAUAAUAAGAGAAACCCUGGCCACUGUAAAUAAACACCUACAAGAGAAAUAUGAUAGAUUAGAAAAACAGGAAGGAUGGUUCCCGUCGAUGUUUAACUGGUCUCCCUGGUUGACUACCCUUGUCUCUGCCCUUGCUGAACCUCUGUUAAUCUUGCUACUAGCUUUGACUUUUAGCCCAUGCAUUAUUAAUAAACUUAUGGCCUAUAUAAGGGCCCGGGUGGGAGCUGUUCACCUAAUGGUUUUAAACCAACAGGCUAGAUACAACCCAGUGCCAUUAGAAGAAGAAAGCUGCAUGUAGGAUUACUUGCUGUGCUAAAAUCAGUGGGGAAUGUGAGACUGAACAAAUGUUACUCCAUUUUGUAAUAAGGCCCCAUUUUGUCUGCUUCUGUUACACUUCACCAUGUGGACGUUGAGUUCCCAGAAUGUACUUGUUGCUGUUGCAAGGAAACCACAAGUUAGCCUUAUGCCUGUUAGGUAAAGAUUGGUUGCUACACUACCCCAACCGCCAACGUCUCACUUCUGUGCUUUUGCUUGCCAAGUUCUCUCUUGUGACCCCUAUAAAAAGACCUCAGUCCCUGAGCCGGGUGCCUCUCUAAGCUUGGUGCUUGGAGGGUGCCAUCUGGCCAGACUAAUAAAGGUCUGUU
Heterocephalus glaber (naked mole-rat) is the source of this 8264-nucleotide non-coding RNA. The record is from RefSeq and is a predicted model, not a curated record. NCBI's taxonomy places the organism in Eukaryota, Metazoa, Chordata, Mammalia, Rodentia, Bathyergidae.